RNAcentral lists this ribosomal RNA (396 nucleotides) under uncultured bacterium. RNAcentral describes it as "partial 16S ribosomal RNA". It matches the Rfam family "Bacterial small subunit ribosomal RNA", at positions 523 to 917 of the family's 1533-position model. The record is from RNAcentral.
AUACGUAGGGGGCGAGCGUUGUCCGGAAUGAUUGGGCGUAAAGGGCGCGUAGGCGGCCCGGUAAGUCUGGAGUGAAAGUCCUGUUUUUAAGAUGGGAAUUGCUUUGGAUACUGUCGGGCUUGAGUGCAGGAGAGGUAAGUGGAAUUCCCAGUGUAGCGGUGAAAUGCGUAGAGAUUGGGAGGAACACCAGUGGCGAAGGCGACUUACUGGACUGUAACUGACGCUGAGGCGCGAAAGUGUGGGGAGCAAACAGGAUUAGAUACCCUGGUAGUCCACACUGUAAACGAUGAAUGCUAGGUGUAGGGGGUAUCGACCCCUUCUGUGCCGCAGUCAACACAAUAAGCAUUCCGCCUGGGGAGUACGGCCGUAAGGUUGAAACUCAAAGGAAUUGACGGG